GGAGGGCGCAUGGCUCACUCGUAGAGCAUCUGCCUUGCAAGCAGAAGGUUCCAGGUUCAAUCCCUAGACUCUCCA
RNAcentral lists this transfer RNA (75 nucleotides) under Sphaerodactylus townsendi. RNAcentral describes it as "tRNA-Ala". It matches the Rfam family "tRNA". Rfam says of the family: Transfer RNA (tRNA) molecules are approximately 80 nucleotides in length. The record is from RNAcentral. Lineage: Eukaryota; Metazoa; Chordata; Lepidosauria; Squamata; Sphaerodactylidae.